RNAcentral lists this ribosomal RNA (253 nucleotides) under Dorea longicatena. RNAcentral's name for it is "partial 16S ribosomal RNA". It matches the Rfam family "Bacterial small subunit ribosomal RNA", at positions 524 to 776 of the family's 1533-position model. Lineage: Bacteria; Bacillati; Bacillota; Clostridia; Lachnospirales; Lachnospiraceae. The record is from RNAcentral.
UACGUAGGGGGCAAGCGUUAUCCGGAUUUACUGGGUGUAAAGGGAGCGUAGACGGCACGGCAAGCCAGAUGUGAAAGCCCGGGGCUCAACCCCGGGGCUGCAUUUGGAACUGCUGAGCUAGAGUGUCGGAGAGGCAAGUGGAAUUCCUAGUGUAGCGGUGAAAUGCGUAGAUAUUAGGAGGAACACCAGUGGCGAAGGCGGCUUGCUGGACGAUGACUGACGUUGAGGCUCGAAAGCGUGGGGAGCAAACAGG